UUCUGAAAGCCUCUCUGCUAUGACCUAAAAUUAAGUAAUAAAAUUAGUAUAUACAAUCUAAUGAGAUCACAAUCCAAUAUAUCAUGUGUUUACAAUUUAUACAUUCAACUAUAUAUAUUUUAGAAAUGAAAUUAGACAGGAAACCAAAGUGCUAUCAAUGUGAUUACAGUCAUAUCCAUAAGACAUCAGAAAACAGAGGAAACCCAGGACAUUUGACAAGAGUCACGCUUAUUGGGACAAUUGAACACAUUAGGAGUUUAAGGCUAGCAGAAAGUUAGGAAGGAACUAAAUGUUUUGGCAAGUUUGGGCGCUAGGACAAGAGAGUUAUUUAACAAUGGUAGUAAGACUUGAAUCUAUGAAUUUCAGAAAAAACCUGAUACCAUUUUAACAACUGCCACUCCAGCAUCUUCAGCCCACCAUACCGCUGCUGUCACUAGCGGCUGCACCGCUGCUGUCACUAGCGGCUGCACCGCUGCUGUCACUAGCGGCUGC
RNAcentral lists this unclassified non-coding RNA (492 nucleotides) under Hevea brasiliensis (rubber tree). The record is from RNAcentral. Lineage: Eukaryota; Viridiplantae; Streptophyta; Magnoliopsida; Malpighiales; Euphorbiaceae.